GAUGAACGCUAGCGGCAGGCCUAAUACAUGCAAGUCGAGGGGCAGCACGGUAGCAAUACUGGUGGCGACCGGCGCACGGGUGCGUAACACGUAUGCAACCUGCCUUCAACUGGGAGAUAGCCCGGGGAAACUCGGAUUAAUACCCCAUAACACAGUGAAUCAGCAUUGAUUUAUUGUUAAAGCUCCGGCGGUUGAAGAUG
RNAcentral lists this ribosomal RNA (200 nucleotides) under uncultured bacterium. RNAcentral's name for it is "partial 16S ribosomal RNA". It matches the Rfam family "Bacterial small subunit ribosomal RNA", at positions 28 to 227 of the family's 1533-position model. The record is from RNAcentral.